Molecule: transfer RNA, 75 nt
Filed under: Cordylochernes scorpioides
Lineage: Eukaryota; Metazoa; Arthropoda; Arachnida; Pseudoscorpiones; Chernetidae
Description: tRNA-Thr
Rfam family: tRNA
About the family: Transfer RNA (tRNA) molecules are approximately 80 nucleotides in length.
Source: RNAcentral
GUCCAGGGUAGCCUAGUGGACAUGGCAUCUGCCCGGUGGGCGGAAGGUUGUGGGUUCGAUUCCCGCACCUGGACA